ACAGGAAAGGGUUGUGCCGUGGAUACGUACCACAGUCCUGGAGGCACGCACAAGUGGUUUUCAUACCGAAAGCGGGCAGGCUCGGUCAUGAUUCCGUGAAGGCCUUUCGACCAAUCAGCCUGACCUCUUUCGGGCUGAAGACCCUAGAGCGCGUCCAGGACAUUCACUUAACAUUCACACCAGCUGAUAGAAGACAACCCCCAAAAUCAUUGCUGGAGGUGGUAUUAAUCGACAAACCUCUUAUCAAUGUCCGAGCACGCUAUCAGGACAUUCAGAUCAGCCAUCACGAUCACCAUCUCAUCUCUAGGAACAUCAUUUCCUGGAGUUCUUCUAGUAUCCAUUGCAAGAUUUUAUGUAUGGUGGAGCUACUAGAAGUGCUGGGGAAGCUUAACAAAAUGUUCAGCUAAUGUUUGACAAAUAAGUGCAUAUUCCAGAAAGAACAAACAGAAGGCAAACAAACUGCAUAUGGGGCGGCCAAAUCAGCAGUCAAACAAAUACUGGAAAAAGGGCAUUGAACGACAGCCGAAGAGUUCCUAGUCUCUGCAGUAAAAAAUGUUUGCAUUUCAGUAACGAAUUGUUGUAUAAAAUAAAGUAGUUUAGAAUUGAUAAAUGCGAUGAAUGAAAGAAAUAUCACUUCCACUAACUUUCCUAUUUUUUCCGAUCGCAAUGACGAUUAGGAGCAAAACUAAAAUUAUAAUAAUUUAUAUGCGAGUAUUUAGAAGCAUUGUCUUUGCUUGAGCAAUUAACAGUUAUGUGAUGACUUCUGUGGGCACUUUAGUUGCCACCACACUAUUGAAUUUAAUUAGAAAUAAUCCUAUUAUAUGUUCAAACUAUGGUAAUAGGGCGCGAAUAUGUUUCGAAUGAUUUUUACUCGACCUUGAAUAAUUAAUAAAUUAGAAAUUUAUUAGGCGUAAAAUUAUAUGAAUUGAUUCACAUUA
Molecule: long non-coding RNA, 938 nt
Organism: Hermetia illucens (black soldier fly)
Lineage: Eukaryota; Metazoa; Arthropoda; Insecta; Diptera; Stratiomyidae
Exons: 2
Source: RefSeq, a predicted model, not a curated record